GCAGCAGCAGAGCGCGUGGCAGUGCAUUGUUAUUAUUAUUAUUAUUAUUAUUAUUAUUAUUAUUAUUAUUAUUAUUACACACUGCGGUGAGGGAAGAACAGUCAGUGGAUUUGGGAGAUGAAGAUUUAUGGAGUAUUUCUUCAGUUUUAACUCUCUGGACAUUUUCUUGGUUAAUUCGGCGACAUGAACUCCAGUGGAUUAUCAGACCAAGAGUACACUGAUGAUCCGCCUGGGGGUUAGGCGUGUUCUGAACUGAACGAUCACAGCUCUCUCUUCCGUGUAUGUCUCCUGUCUCAGUUUAAG
Long non-coding RNA from Ictalurus punctatus (channel catfish), 303 nucleotides. NCBI's taxonomy places the organism in Eukaryota, Metazoa, Chordata, Actinopteri, Siluriformes, Ictaluridae. The record is from Ensembl.